RNAcentral lists this ribosomal RNA (545 nucleotides) under uncultured bacterium. RNAcentral describes it as "partial 16S ribosomal RNA". It matches the Rfam family "Bacterial small subunit ribosomal RNA", at positions 355 to 914 of the family's 1533-position model. The record is from RNAcentral.
UGGGGAAUAUUGCACAAUGGGCGAAAGCCUGAUGCAGCAACGCCGCGUGAGUGAUGAAGGUCUUCGGAUUGUAAAGCUCUGUCUUUUGGGACGAUAAUGACGGUACCAAAGGAGGAAGCCACGGCUAACUACGUGCCAGCAGCCGCGGUAAUACGUAGGUGGCGAGCGUUGUCCGGAUUUACUGGGCGUAAAGGGUGCGUAGGCGGAUGUUUAAGUGAGAUGUGAAAUACCCGGGCUUAACUUGGGUGCUGCAUUUCAAACUGGAUAUCUAGAGUGCAGGAGAGGAGAAUGGAAUUCCUAGUGUAGCGGUGAAAUGCGUAGAGAUUAGGAAGAACACCAGUGGCGAAGGCGAUUCUCUGGACUGUAACUGACGCUGAGGCACGAAAGCGUGGGUAGCAAACAGGAUUAGAUACCCUGGUAGUCCACGCCGUAAACGAUGAGUACUAGGUGUAGGAGGUAUCGACCCCUUCUGUGCCGCAGUAAACACAUUAAGUACUCCGCCUGGGAAGUACGAUCGCAAGGUUAAAACUCUAAAGUGAAUUGAC